RNAcentral lists this ribosomal RNA (563 nucleotides) under uncultured bacterium. RNAcentral describes it as "bacterial SSU rRNA". It matches the Rfam family "Bacterial small subunit ribosomal RNA", at positions 338 to 916 of the family's 1533-position model. The record is from RNAcentral.
CCUACGGGAGGCAGCAGUGGGGAAUCUUGCGCAAUGGGCGAAAGCCUGACGCAGCAACGCCGCGUGCGGGAAGAAGGCCCUAGGGUUGUAAACCGCUUUCAGUAGGAACGAAAAUGACGGUACCUGCAGAAGAAGGUGCGGCCAACUACGUGCCAGCAGCCGCGGUGACACGUAGGCACCAAGCGUUGUCCGGAUUUAUUGGGCGUAAAGAGCUCGUAGGCGGUUCAGUAAGUCGGGUGUGAAAACUCUGGGCUUAACCCAGAGCCGCCACUCGAUACUGCUGUGACUUGAGUUCGGUAGGGGAGCAGGGAAUUCCUAGUGUAGCGGUGAAAUGCGCAGAUAUUAGGAGGAACACCGGUGGCGAAGGCGCUGCUCUGGGCCGAUACUGACGCUGAGGAGCGAAAGCGUGGGUAGCAAACAGGAUUAGAUACCCUGGUAGUCCACGCCGUAAACGUUGGGCACUAGGUGUGGGUUCCAACCAACGGAAUCCGCGCCGUCGCUAACGCAUUAAGUGCCCGCCUGGGGAGUACGGCGGCAACGCUAAAACUCAAAUGAAUUGACGG